AAAAGAAAAAGAAAAAUUCUCACACUGAUAAACUCUCCCUUUCCCAAACUCAUCUUCAACCCCCUUGUACUGCCCGUUUAAUUCAGCGUCAUCAGAAAAUAACCCCAAAUGUCUUGCACUCCUGGCUUCCGCUGAUAGAGGAGAAAGGGCUUAAGACACUGAAAUAGUAAAAAAAAAAAAAAUAAAAAUUGUUAUAGGAAAUUUUCCCCAACAGGUAAGCACAAUAAAAAGUCAAAAGGAGGUAUGGGCUGAAGAAUGACUUCCUGCAAUGUGUAAUUUCAAGAAACCCUAAAACUUAAAGACAAUAGGAUCUGGAAGGACACACCAGUGGAAAUUGGCUAUCUCUGUGGACCAGGAAAUUUCAUCUACAAAAAGGUAUUCCAGAAAGAAAAUACAGUCACCAUGCUGGGAAGAAGGCUUUCAAGUGCGGCUGAUCACUCAUUUGGCUAUCAGACAUUAAAAAAAAAAUAAAACAAAAACC
This 481-nucleotide long non-coding RNA is filed under the name Pongo abelii (Sumatran orangutan). RNAcentral's name for it is "lincRNA". Lineage: Eukaryota; Metazoa; Chordata; Mammalia; Primates; Hominidae. The record is from RNAcentral.